AGAGAGCUUGCUUUCCGAGCGAGUGGCGAACGGGUGAGUAACGCGUGAGGACCUGCCUCAAAGAGGGGGACAACAGUUGGAAACGACUGCUAAUACCGCAUAAGUCGGCAUCGAAAAAGGAGCAAUCCGCUUUGAGAUGGCCUCGCGUCCGAUUAGCUAGUUGGUGAGGUAACGGCCCACCAAGGCGACGAUCGGUAGCCGGACUGAGAGGUUGAACGGCCACAUUGGGACUGAGACACGGCCCAGACUCCUACGGGAGGCAGCAGUGGGGAAUAUUGCACAAUGGGGGAAACCCUGAUGCAGCGACGCCGCGUGGAGGAAGAAGGUCUUCGGAUUGUAAACUCCUGUUGUUGAGGAAGAAAGACGGUACUCAACAAGGAAGUGGCGGCUAACUACGUGCCAGCAGCCGCGGUAAAACGUAGGUCACAAGCGUUGUCCGGAAUUACUGGGUGUAAAGGGAGCGCAGGCGGGAAGCAAGUUGGAAGUGAAAUCCAUGGGCUCAACCCAUGAACUGCUUUCAAAACUUUUUUCUUGAGUAGUGCAGAGGUAGGCGGAAUUCCCGGUGUAGCGGUGGAAUGCGUAGAUAUCGGGAGGAACACCA
RNAcentral lists this ribosomal RNA (601 nucleotides) under uncultured bacterium. RNAcentral describes it as "bacterial SSU rRNA". It matches the Rfam family "Bacterial small subunit ribosomal RNA", at positions 73 to 711 of the family's 1533-position model. The record is from RNAcentral.